This 495-nucleotide ribosomal RNA is filed under the name uncultured bacterium. RNAcentral describes it as "partial 16S ribosomal RNA". It matches the Rfam family "Bacterial small subunit ribosomal RNA", at positions 28 to 507 of the family's 1533-position model. The record is from RNAcentral.
GACGAACGCUGGCGGCGUGCCUAAUACAUGCAAGUAGAACGCUGAAGGAGGAGCUUGCUUCUCUGGAUGAGUUGCGAACGGGUGAGUAACGCGUAGGUAACCUGCCUGGUAGCGGGGGAUAACUAUUGGAAACGAUAGCUAAUACCGCAUAAGAGUAGAUGUUGCAUGACAUUUGCUUAAAAGGUGCAAUUGCAUCACUACCAGAUGGACCUGCGUUGUAUUAGCUAGUUGGUGGGGUAACGGCUCACCAAGGCGACGAUACAUAGCCGACCUGAGAGGGUGAUCGGCCACACUGGGACUGAGACACGGCCCAGACUCCUACGGGAGGCAGCAGUAGGGAAUCUUCGGCAAUGGACGGAAGUCUGACCGAGCAACGCCGCGUGAGUGAAGAAGGGUUUCGGAUAGUAAAGCUCUGUUGUAAGAGAAGAACGAGUGUGAGAGUGGAAAGUUCACACUGUGACGGUAUCUUACCAGAAAGGGACGGCUAACUACGUG